This is a long non-coding RNA of Antechinus flavipes (yellow-footed antechinus), 1940 nucleotides long. RefSeq lists it as uncharacterized. The record is from RefSeq and is a predicted model, not a curated record. The transcript is spliced from 2 exons. Lineage: Eukaryota; Metazoa; Chordata; Mammalia; Dasyuromorphia; Dasyuridae.
AACAACACUGUCUUUUGCCAUUCUUCCACUCUAUUUCAAUUGGUAUUCAUUUUAGUCAGUGUAGCCUAAGAAAACAAAUCAAUACUUUGCAUUUAUUUGAAUAUGUAUGCCUCUGUUCUCCACCUCUAUUUUAUCAGACAGGCGGCUUGUUACACUAUCAGUAUGCUGAAGUCAUGAUUUGAUUCUUAUUUUUAUGAAUAUUUAAAAAACAUAACACCAACAAACAAAUUUUUUACCUAUAAAAAGAAAAGUUUACAUAUGAAUUGGUGGCUCUAUUAAUUUUGGGUUGUAGCAACACUGUCUUGCUUGUUUCCUGUUCUGAAUUUCUUUGUUUUACUGACAACCUUUUAAAUCACCAUAGCUAUCACUAUCCCCAUGUUUUCCCUGAAACAUUGUCUCCCAUACCCCUAAAAAUCCAUCUCAUAACAAAUGAGUUUAAUGAAGAAAACUUGGCCAGCUCUGAAAAUAGAUAUUUUAUUCUAUACUUCUAGUGCAGUGAAAUGUAAAAUAUUUGAGCAUGUACUCCUGAUGGGAUUUGUAUAUUAGUAUAAUGAUUGUGUACAUUUAAAAAUGGAAAUAAAGAGAAUUAUGUAGAAAUUAAGAAAAUGAGAUGAUUAAAAAAUAGAUUAUAUUGACAUAGGUAGUGGUAAAUUUAUUGAAUAGGGAAUGUACUUAAGGAAAUUCACUGGCAGCUAUGUGGGAAAUAUAUUAGAAUGGGAAAAAGUAGGAGACUUGAAUAGUCCAGAUGAGAAGUUAUGAGCUAAACUGGAGUGGUGGCCAUGUGAGUGGGGAGUGGCAGAUGUGACAUGUCACCUGGCUGGUGUGAAUGUGAAGGGAAAGUAUGAGGUCAAAGAUGACAGGUUAUGAGAACCUGAGUGCUGGAUGGUGGUGAUUUCAGCAGCAAUGGAGAGAUUUGGAAGACAGGAAGAAUUGGUGACUGGUGGGCAAAGGAAUAAUGUAAUGUUGUUUGUGAUCCAAUUCACAAUCCGUAAUGGACAAUCAUCUUUUAUGAGUCACUUUACCAUGAAAAUAAAAAGAGUACAGGUCUCUUAUUAAUAUCUGUCUUGUCUGCAAAAGCAGAACACCUCCCAACAAGGUGUCUGAUGGAGCCAGGAGGUGAUCUAUGGUGGUGUGAUUAGUUAGACUAUAACCACCCUGCAGGAUCUGACACCCAUCUAGGAUAAGCAACGUUGGUAAUUUGCACAGCAGAGAAAAAGAACAGGGUAGGGGAAUGGUGUGAGACAAGAUCAGUGUGACUGCUAAAAGACAAAAGCCACAAUUGUUGGAAAGGUGGUGAUGGUAUCUUUUCUGAAAAUCUAAUUGAUCACACCUCUUGGGAUUGGGGAGGGGGGCCCUAGCUUUGGAUAGCAUUGUUUUAGUUCAUCACUUCUCUGCCAAGAAGUGGUAAGCAUACUUCAUUAGUGCUCUGAAGUUACAACUGAUAAUUUUACUAAGCAGAAUCCUUGACUUUUAAAGUUGUUUUCCUCAAUUCUGAUGAACAUGACUUUCUAGCAAUGAGAUGAUUGAUGCCAGUUCCGAUGAUCUUGCAAUGAAGAGAGCCAUCUAUACCCAAAAAAGGAAAGGUAGAAAGUGAAUGUGGAUCACAACAUAACUUUUUGUUAUUCGCUUGCAUUUUGUUUUCUUACCCAUUUACUUUCUUUUUUUGAUCUGAUUUCUCUUGUGUAGCAAGAGAAUUGUAUAAAUGUUUAUACAUAUUGGAUUUAACAUUUUAAUAUGUUUAUAUUGACUUGCUUGCCAUCUAGGGAAGGGGGUGGGGAGAGGGAGGAGAAAAUCUGAAACAAGGCUAUGCAAGGGUCAGUGUUGUCAAUAUGUUUUGAAAAUAAAAAGCUUUAUUAUAAAAAAAGAGAGAAAGGUGAAUGUUGAAAACUAUCCUUGUAUGUAUUGGAAAAAUAAAAUACUAUUUAAAAAAUAAUAAAAAA